Podarcis lilfordi (Lilford's wall lizard) is the source of this 71-nucleotide non-coding RNA. Lineage: Eukaryota; Metazoa; Chordata; Lepidosauria; Squamata; Lacertidae. The record is from the annotation of a GenBank genome assembly.
GCUAUAGCUCAGUGGGGUUAAACACUUGCCUUACAUGCAGAAGGUCCCAGGUUCAAUCCCUGGCAUCUGCU